Molecule: long non-coding RNA, 1321 nt
Organism: Folsomia candida
Lineage: Eukaryota; Metazoa; Arthropoda; Collembola; Entomobryomorpha; Isotomidae
Exons: 3
Source: RefSeq, a predicted model, not a curated record
ACUUAAUCUUCUUUUCUGCUUACGAUAUUUCCUUAACUUCAAGACUUAUGUACAUACAUAUGUGUAAUUAUUUAUGUAGUAAAGAAUAUUCGAAUUAAAUUUCUUAUUAUUUUUAUGUACUUACUGUCCUUUGAAUCUAAUGAAGCCCAGCGUUGAUUCGUUUCAUAUUUACGAAACUUUUUUACGACAUAAAUUUUCUACCGGAUGGACUCAGGAGUAUGAAUUUGGAGUGGGAGUGACAAGGGAAUUAGUUUCAGACACAGAAAAAUUUGAUCUCAUGGAUGAAAGGCGACAAAAUUGAUUCUACUGACGAAAGAAUGACACCUACACACACUAAGCGUUGGAUUUUAAAAUCAACCUCAUCGUCGACGCAUUAAGCUAAAAGUUUCUCACCUUUACGACGUGUGCAAGUUUUUUAUAUAGAUUUAUGUAUAUAGAUGUACAUACAUACAUAAAUGCAUGUUACGUGUUUUGUACCCAUUAAAAAUACUCUACAUAGAUACUAGAGUAUUUUUUUUAGUAUACGGUCCAAUUUCAAUUUCUCACUUUUUUCAUUAUUUUCAUGGAACUGUGAGAAUUACGAAGACCUGGAGAAGCCAUAUUUUAUUCCUGAUCUAUGCAUGUAUCUACUUUUCAUGAAGCCUGAUUUUAGCGUUAGUGCUUUUACUUUAGAUGGAUGACUUUUCAACUACAAAAUUACAUGUGUGAAAACAAGUACAUAUUUCCAUACGUAUUUUUCUACUUGGCUAUUUUUCUUGAAAUCUAUGGCUUCUAGAGGAUGAAAUGUUUCACUAUUUACGUAAUUAAUAUCUACACUAAAUUUAUUUAAUAUGUACGUACAUACAUAUUUCCUCUCGUCAAAUGGGUAAAUAUUUGACGAGAAGGGGCUUGCUCAAAAAAUGUUAUUUAUUUAUUUACGGUACUACUGAUACCUUUGUUUGAUUUAUUUGUUUUAGUUUACACGUUUAGAUGUUUUGUCAUUCUUCAAGAAAGGUUUGUGAUAAGUGUAGAACAACGCCCAUUUUUUCAAAUUGAUUAUGAUCAGAUUCCUAACUUUUUUGUUACGUUAAUUAUUGGAUAGAAGAUUUGCAAUUUGACUCAUUAUUAAUGAGUCAUUAAUCAAUAGACUUUAACAUCGUAUAACUUCAAUUAAUUUCAAUUUAUGGUAAUGAUUGAAAUUGUGAAUAUUUAUUUUGAAAAUGACGGAUGUAUCAUUAAGUUAUUCUGAUCUGGUUAAAUGGUAAAAUUGUUUAACUGUUCUUUUAAAUAUUUUGAUUUUUAUAGUGCAUUAAAUUUACUCCAUUUGUACAUUUUCUAACAC